GAUGAACGCUGGCGGCGUGCCUAACACAUGCAAGUCGAGCGAUUUACUUCGGUAAAGAGCGGCGGACGGGUGAGUAACGCGUGGGUAACCUGCCCUGUACACGCGGAUAACAUACCGAAAGGCAUGCUAAUACGAGAUAAUAUGCUUUUAUCGCAUGGUAGAAGUAUCAAAGCUUUUGCGGUACAGGAUGGACCCGCGUCUGAUUAGCUAGUUGGUAAGGUAACGGCUUACCAAGGCGACGAUCAGUAGCCGACCUGAGAGGGUGAUCGGCCACAUUGGAACUGAGACACGGUCCAAACUCCUACGGGAGGCAGCAGUGGGGAAUAUUGCACAAUGGGCGAAAGCCUGAUGCAGCAACGCCGCGUGAGCGAUGAAGGCCUUCGGGUCGUAAAGCUCUGUCCUCAAGGAAGAUAAUGACGGUACUUGAGGAGGAAGCCCCGGCUAACUACGUGCCAGCCGCCGCAGUAA
This 468-nucleotide ribosomal RNA is filed under the name uncultured bacterium. Its description in RNAcentral is "partial 16S ribosomal RNA". It matches the Rfam family "Bacterial small subunit ribosomal RNA", at positions 28 to 523 of the family's 1533-position model. The record is from RNAcentral.